UAAUACGUAGGGUGCAGGCGUUAAUCGGAAUUACUGGGCGUAAAGCGUGCGCAGGCGGUCUGUUAAGACAGGUGUGAAAUCCCCGAGCUCAACUUGGGAAUUGCGCUUGUAACUGGCAGGCUAGAGUGUGGCAGAGGGGGGUGGAAUUCCACGUGUAGCAGUGAAAUGCGUAGAUAUGUGGAGGAACACCGAUGGCGAAGGCAGCCCCCUGGGUUAACACUGACGCUCAGGCACGAAAGCGUGGGGAGCAAACAGGAUUAGAUACCCUGGUAGUCCACGCCCUAAACUAUGUCAACUGGUUGUCGGGGAAGAAAUUCCUUGGUAACGAAGCUAACGCGUGAAGUUGACCGCCUGGGGAGUACGGCCGCAAGGUUA
Molecule: ribosomal RNA, 375 nt
Filed under: uncultured bacterium
Lineage: Bacteria
Description: bacterial SSU rRNA
Rfam family: Bacterial small subunit ribosomal RNA
Source: RNAcentral